AUUUCAAUACCUUCUUGCAAAAUGCAGAUAGGGAUCUGAUUGCUGAAGUCUUCCAUGAAGUUCUAGAUGCUUGGAAAGGAUUCUGAAGAUAUCUCAACUUCAAAGAAGGGUAGGAAGGCAUGGUGUUAUUUAACAUACUCAAGAAAUAGGUUGUUUCAAUUUGUUGUGCAGGAUUUGUUUUGAUGAACCUAAUUCUUUAGUUCAGAUGGAUUUUUUAAGAUUUGAUGUACAUUCUUAUGUUGUGGUCUUCAACUGUAAACCACAAGUUAUUAUUGUUUACAAAAAAUGUAAAUAAAGAACAUAUGUUCAUCAUUAAAAUGAUUCUGAAUUGUGAUGAUACUUGAUUGCUGCAUUUAUUUUGUUGGUAUAGAGAAUUUUACAUUUUAGAAUUUACAUAUCCAUUGAUCUUUUGAAUGUAAUUUUCUCUCGGUAAAGGCAAGUUAGGAAAAAAAGCAAAUAAAAUUCUUCUCCUUUUAUUUCAUACUUCAACAACAAAAAAGGCAGCACAAUGGAAGAAGAUGAGUGCACAAAACAACUUAGUGAAAGGGAAAACACUUAAGCCAAGUCAGCAAAAUGGCAAAUAAGACCACACGAGUCCAUGAUAGAGAGAACAUGCCUUCCACAAAAGGCCAACAUUUAUAAGUGCUCAAUUCAUUUUCCAAUUUCUCUAAAAUUUAAGCACCACCCUUUUAACCUUGACAGCAGAUUUAUCUGAUCCACUGGUAUCUAAAUUUUUUAACUUGAUAGGACCAAAACUCUUAAGACAGUGACUUCUGAUAUUCAGGUAGAGAAAUCUUGAGAUUUCAAAUAAUGUGAAAGGAAUAAAAAAAAGUUGAAAUGUGGUUACCUAGUCACAUCACUCUGAUAUCUUCAGAUUUUCAUAAAACCAAAGUGGUUGAUAUGCAAUGAACUGACCUCAUACUGUUCAGUUUCAGAGCAGCAUAGCACUCUUUCAACUUGGCUUAUCAUAGUUGUCAUUGUGCUUCUGUAUACUGCUCCAAAUUCAAAUUCAACCAACAAAUUUAAAUCCUCAUGUUACAUUGUCAGUAGGGUUGAAGAGAGAAGGUUAUAGCACUAAUAAUUUGAUUAAGUGUGUGUUUGGAAACAUGUUCAGAAGCAAGAAAUCACUUCUUACACAUGAAAGUUAUAACUGCUAGCUUCUCACUGAACAUGAAAAAACAGGUCUGAGAGUUUUCUCUUAUUGAAUAACUAGUGGCUUACUUUUUUAACUUAUCUUGCAAUAUUUAUUUGUAUUCUCCACUUCUUGUCAAUUGUAUAUUAAAGGGAAAAUUGAAAUGAUGAUAAGAUGACUCUCUUUUACAAGCAGUUUAAUAUCACGCAUGAAGAACAAAGAAAAGGUCACUUCAUAUCCAAGCUAAGAAAAACGACUCCAUUGUCUCCCAAUAACAAAACAUCUAUAAUGGCUAAGAAGAAAGGGACCAUCUUCCAUUCAAAAAUGCUCUUUUUCUGCCAUCAAAAGGUCAUGAAAACUGCAAAUGUGGACCACCAAGUUUUGCUCACAUAACAUGCAACAUAAAGAAACACAGGUUGCUUAGAUUUCCACAGAACUUCAACUUAGCAUCAAAACCAAAACCAUUCAGCAUAACACAUGAAACUAAAACCACAAAUCAUUUAGAGUUUUUAAUUGUCAAGAAGGUGAAACAAUACACAGCACAAAAGUUGAUGAACUACUCACCUCUUAGCCAAAAUUCUUGAGGAAGGUUAUCAAUAUCAAUCCAAGUAUUAUUCUGUACAAGUUUGAGCUUGGAAGAGAAAACAGAAGGAACAGUGAAGUAAACAAGCAAGUGCAUCAUGCUUUAUGCUAGACACUUUGGCAAGAAUAUGGAAUAUUACAAGGAUCUUC
Molecule: long non-coding RNA, 1864 nt
Filed under: Phaseolus vulgaris (common bean)
Lineage: Eukaryota; Viridiplantae; Streptophyta; Magnoliopsida; Fabales; Fabaceae
Description: long non-coding RNA (PVUL_LNC002635)
Source: RNAcentral